CCUACGGGUGGCAGCAGUGGGGGAUAUUGCACAAUGGGGGAAACCCUGAUGCAGCGACGCCGCGUGUGGGAAGACGGUCUUCUGGAUUGUAAACCACUGUCCCCAGGGACGAAAAUGACGGUACCAAAGGAAUAAGCCCCGGCUAACUACGUGCCAGCAGCCGCGGUAAUACGUAGGGGGCAAGCGUUGUUCGGAAUGACUGGGCGUAAAGGGUGUGUAGGUGGUUUGAUAAGUUAGAUGUGUAAUACCCAGGGCUUAACUCGGGUGCUGCAUCUAAAACUGUUAGACUUGAGUACUGGAGAGGAUAGUGGAAUUCCUAGUGUAGCGGUGGAAUGCGUAGAUAUUAGGAGGAACAUCAGUGGCGAAGGCGACUAUCUGGACAGCAACUGACACUGAGGCACGAAAGCGUGGGGAGCAAACAGGAUUAGAUACCCCUGUAGUC
This 442-nucleotide ribosomal RNA is filed under the name uncultured bacterium. RNAcentral describes it as "partial 16S ribosomal RNA". It matches the Rfam family "Bacterial small subunit ribosomal RNA", at positions 338 to 795 of the family's 1533-position model. The record is from RNAcentral.